CCUACGGGAGGCAGCAGUGGGGGAUAUUGCACAAUGGGGGAAACCCUGAUGCAGCAACGCCGCGUGAGUGAAGAAGUAUUUCGGUAUGUAAAGCUCUAUCAGCAGGGAAGAGAAUGACGGUACCUGACUAAUAAGCCCCGGCUAACUCCGUGCCAGCAGCCGCGGUAAUACGUAGGGGGCGAGCGUUACCCGGAUUUACUGGGUGUAAAGGGAGCGUAGACGGGUGGUUAAGUCUGAAGUGAAAGCCCGGAGCUUAACCCCGGAACGGCUUUGGAAACUGAGAAGCUAGAGUGCGGGAGAGGUAGGCGGAAUUCCUGGUGUAGGGGUGAAAUGCGUAGAUAUUAGGAGGAACACCAGUGGCGAAGGCGACUUGCUGGACAGUAACUGACGUUGAGGCUCGAAAGCGUGGGGAGCAAACAGGAUUAGAUACCCCAGUAGUC
Molecule: ribosomal RNA, 440 nt
Filed under: uncultured bacterium
Lineage: Bacteria
Description: partial 16S ribosomal RNA
Rfam family: Bacterial small subunit ribosomal RNA
Source: RNAcentral